This 333-nucleotide unclassified non-coding RNA is filed under the name soil metagenome. RNAcentral's name for it is "partial contains 5.8S ribosomal RNA, internal transcribed spacer 2, and large subunit ribosomal RNA". The stretch from base 1 to 120 matches the Rfam family "5.8S ribosomal RNA", at positions 35 to 154 of the family's 154-position model. The record is from RNAcentral.
GAUGAAGAACGUAGCGAAAUGCGAUAAGUAAUGUGAAUUGCAGAAUUCAGUGAAUCAUCGAAUCUUUGAACGCACAUUGCGCCCGCCAGUAUUCUGGCGGGCAUGCCUGUUCGAGCGUCAUUUCAACCAUCAAGCCCUGUGCUUGUGUUGGGGGCCUGCGGCUGCCGCAGCCCCCUAAAAGCAGUGGCGGGCUCGCUGUCAUUCCGAGCGCAGUAACUUAUCUCGCUUUGGUCGUGGCGGUGGGCACCUGCCGUAAAACACUCUUUUUCACAAGGUUGACCUCGGAUCAGGUAGGAAUACCCGCUGAACUUAAGCAUAUCAAUAAGCGGAGGA